CUUCAAGUAAAUGUUGGCAAAAAUCUGUUGUCUGAGAAGGACACUGAGCUACAGGGAAUGGAACAGAAGCUUUAUCUAACUGAAACUGAAAAAGCUGUGUUGCAUCAAAUUUUGAUGAAUGAAGUUGCUGCACUCAAAGAGGGUAGUGAAGAACUGAAAUUGAUAAUAAGGGAGAAAGAUCGCAGAGGGGAACUGCUAGAAAUUGAAAAUUGUGACCUAGCAAAAGCAUUGCAGUUGGCAGAGGAUGAGUUGAAGACUCUUAAAAGUAUGACGGAUCAGCUCAAUCUUCAAGUAAAUGUUGGCAAAAAUCUGUUGUCUGAGAAGGACACUGAGCUUCAGGGAGUGGAACAGAAGCUUUAUCUUACUGAAACUGAGAAAGCUGUGUUGCAUCAAAUUUUGAUGAAUGAAGUUGCUGCACUCAAAGAGGGUAGUGAAGAACUGAAAUUGAUAAUAAGGGAGAAAGAUCGCAGAGGGGAACUGCUAGAAAUUGAAAAUUGUGGC
Molecule: long non-coding RNA, 501 nt
Filed under: Solanum tuberosum (potato)
Lineage: Eukaryota; Viridiplantae; Streptophyta; Magnoliopsida; Solanales; Solanaceae
Description: long non-coding RNA (STUB_LNC009256)
Source: RNAcentral